Molecule: long non-coding RNA, 43997 nt
Filed under: Coffea arabica (coffee)
Lineage: Eukaryota; Viridiplantae; Streptophyta; Magnoliopsida; Gentianales; Rubiaceae
Description: long non-coding RNA (CARA_LNC003229)
Source: RNAcentral
AUCAACUCAGGUGCAAAGCGGGAUAGCUUUGUGAACUGGAUUUCAUAUUCGGCGACACUCAUCGCCCCUUGCUUGCAUCGAAUGAAAUCGUCCUCUUUCUUCUCUUGAAUGAGAGGCGGAAGGAAUUUGGCAUUGAACUCCCUUGUGAAGUUCAUCCAAGUCCGUGGUGUAUGGUUAGUCUCCCAAUGAAUCCUCAUCAGGUUCCACCAGGAGCGAGCAGCUCCCUCAAACUGGAAGGUGGCGAAAGUCACCUUUCGCUCCUCCGUGUAGUUUAGGGCGGCGAAGAUCUCAGUGAUCCUCUCCCACCAGCCUUCAGCCACUUUCGGCUCGGGUCCUCCGUAGAAUUUGGGAGGUCCAAACUUCAGGAACCUUUCCAGUGCCCGAUCGUCGGAAUCGACUGGGCCUCCCUGAUGGCGCCCUGGUCCAGCGGCUUGGUGUUCAGUCAAGCGCUCUAGGACGUCAGUGAUACGGUUAAUAGCGGUGGCUACUCCGUCUCCGGCCCCGCCCUCUUGGCCUUGGUCUGGGUUGACCUCGGGUUCUCUAUCUCUACCUGCUUCCGGGUGUUGUCUAGUGGGUCUCCCGCGGCCCCUUCCUAUCACUUGGCGAUCCAUAAUCUAAGUUAUGCCUAUUAUGGGAGGAUCAAGCGAUUAGGCGUAGAAUUAUUUAUUUAGGCUUAUUAACAUUUCCUUAGUAAAUAAAAUCGAUAUGGAAUGGAAGACAAUUAAAUAAAACACUUAACAUAUAUUUCCGGAUGAAAGUCAUACAGGUAAUAGGUUGGGACAUUCCCAAAAGUAAGGCACAUAACUAGCAAAAAUACAUACAAAUAAUCCCUUAAACAAAAAUUAGGGAUAUGGUGCCUCAGAAGCAAGUCAUCCGCCUCGACAAAACUUGAUGACCUAGCUAAUGUCCCUCUAUUCUAACCCUACAUAUCCAAUAUAGUCAAAUCAAUCCAAGCCUAUCCCUCCGCAGGGCUAUCAGGAGCUAUGUCCUCCUCCGGAUCCUCCUCCGGGUCCUCCUCCGGAUCCUCCUCCGGAUCCUCCUGCUCUACACUCUGAAGGAUACUCGUGGCCUCAUCUAUCAUCAUUGAGGCAUCAGCCCUGAUGCCUGCACUCCUAUCACGCAUCCUCUCAGCUAGUCGAGUCGCCCUAAACUUCUGUCGCUCUAUCUCCAAACGAGCAGCCUCCAGCAAAUGAUGCUCAGCAGUUAGCCUAACCUCCAAAUCUGCUAUACGGUCGAACUGGGUAUCCACCAUGAUACUCAGCUCCUCUACAUCCUGGGUCAUGGUGAAGUUAGCGUCCUUCAGCUGGCGACGCUCAUCAUCCAGGGAUAGUACUAGCUCAUUGGGGUAGGCAUACAUGGCCCUACACUGGCACCGAGGAUGCCUAUCAGCUGGGGUGUAACGUAUAUGGGCUCCUCCACCUCGUGGUCUGUAAGAGAUCGACCUAAGAGGCUCUAUGUGUCCAUUUGACGCCCCAUGACCAAUAGCGUGUCCAUUACCAUUCUCCAUACCUGCAAAAGAAUUAAACUUAGAGGUUAGAACUCAAAUAGCUAAUUAGAUCCGCAUCACUUAAAACAUAUCUAAGGGUCUCAAUUCUUACUUCUAAACAAAUCGGGGUCUCCUAACUUGUGUAGUAUAUCUCUGAAGUAAUUUUUCUAACCUAGGCUCUGAUACCACCUGUGGCGACCCCACUUCCCCCUGAGGCGAACCAAAGGGUUGGCGGGCCGUCUGCCCAACUCUCGCCAGGACUCACGCGAGCAAUCUAACCCGAAUCCUUUCGAAGAAUAACCUAAUAUAUUACAAAACAACUUUUCCCGAAUAGGAUCAUCCUUAAAGCCACAUUAACUUCAGAGAUAGCAUUGAUAAAAUAACCAGUCGGUGCUCUUAAACGUCCUACGUGCUACGUACCAAAGUAUAAAGUCGCACCAAACCGGAUAGAUACAUAUAUAAACCCCAAAUACAAAUCUACAAACCAAGUAAUCGAAUUGGGGUUUACCCAUUUUCCAGCUUCAAGUGGCAGUCCAAAAUGAAAAGUGCAAUGCUUAGAUUACAAUCCAUUACAAACCGAAAAUUACAAUCAAAUUGUUCAAGUACAACCAUAAGAAAUACAAGCUGCUCAAAUACUUUCAACUUCACAUCCUGUAAGGAAAAAAAAUAAACAUGGGGUGAGCUAAAACUCAGUGGUGCCCCAAAACAUGUAGUCACGUAAUUCAAACAGCGAUUAAUAACUUAAACAAGUUAAACAAUUAAGAAAGCGUAUAACAACACAAGGUAGGAUACAGGGGCUCUCAGGAGCCAUUUUCCCCGCUUGAUCGCCAUUUAUCGUAGUCGACCCUCCGUCAACUCUCACUACCUAUAAUCCAUGUAGAUCCACUCAUUUUAAUCCUAACCCGUCACCAUUCAUACCUCCGCUUCGGGCCCGAACUUCGUUUACCGACGCAGUAUACUCGAGAUAUACCCGUAAUAAAGUUUGCCGAGGGAUUCACCCAACGACAUUAUUGUAGUUCGAUUCAAGUGCCGAGGGAUUCACCCAACGACGUAACUACAUUUAGGUUUAAGGGUAUUGUAGUUCGAUUCAAGUGCCGAGGGAUUCACCCAACGACGUAACUACAUUUAGGUUCAAGGGUAUUGUAGUUCGAUUCAAGUGCCGAGGGAUUCACCCAACGACGUAACUACAUUUAGGUUCAAGGAUUUAUGAGGAAAAUGAUUCACACAAGUCACCAAUCGAACGGCUAAUGCGAUAAAGUACACACUGCUCACUUCGAUGGAUCAAAAGCUCAUUUUUGCAAUUUAUCACAUAUCGAGUCAAGAAAGCACUUAAUUCAAGUAGGAAAAGAACAGGCAGGGACACUCACCAAGAGUGGAGUUCAGGUGUUAGAUUGGGGAUCGAAUUCCGCGUCCUCGAGAAAUCCUAGAAACCAAAUUUUGAAACUAUAAGUUUCUAUUUAGUGGUUAAACUUAUUCAUGUAAGAAUUUAUUUAAUUUAAUACUAGUUUACUUUCUCGAGAGAUUUCAAAAAAAAACUAUUUAGAUUGAAGCUUGACGAAAGUGGUAAAAGUGUUUCUUAUUAUAUUCAUCUUUAGAGAAGGUAACCGGUAUUAUUUACUAGAAACAAGUCGACAAACUUCUCAAAAUCAUAGUUAGAAGGUUACUUUGAAUAUUUCUUUAAAGCUACGGCUUUUAUAAAAAUUACUAUUAAAACUAUUUCUCCUAGAAUAGGGUUUCUUGCCGAGCAAGUCUCCCACGCUUUUCACUAAAGUUGGUAGAACUCGAAUUUUGAAACUUUCUUGUAGUUGACUAUCCAAGCGCAAAGUUUAGAGAAAGAAAAGAAUUAAAACAAGACUUAGAGUUUCCGAAAGCUAUACAACUUAUUUUCUAGAACUAUCAAGGCUAGUUUGAGCGGAAGGAAAUUAUUGAAUUGGAAAGUUUUAGGCAAAACGCUAGAUAUAGAGUUUUAUAAUAUAAUCCUAGCUGGAGAAUAUUUUUGGUUAAUUUUUGAACGCAGCUACUCGAGUUCGUAAGGUCUAUACAAUUUCCCCGCUCCGAUUCCGUUUCGAAAUCACAAUAUAGAUCAAAAUAUAGCAAAAAUCACAUAGCACGUUACUAGGGCUUCGUCAAUCAUUAGCCCUAGCUUUCAACAAUUGCAUUUCCGAAUAAAAUAAAAUAGUCAACCAAGGCUUCAUCAAUCAUUAGCACUUGGUUUCAGCAACCCAAUAUAAGCAAAUAAAAUAAAAGUGAAGUCCCAAGACAUUCCAGCAAUCAUUUUCCGUCAUCCAGUAAUACUUUAUAAAAAGAAAUCAUUUCAAUGGCUAAGGGCUUCAUCAAUCAUUAGCCCUUAGCACUCAACCAGUAAUUCUUGUGACAACCAAGCUAACAUAUCAAAUAUUUAAAUCUGCUAACAGUUAUUUAGAACCAAAGAUCACAUUUGCAGCAGCCUCCUAUUCAAGUAUUUGAUCCAAAGCCAAGAAAUACUAUCCACAAUAUCACAUUGUCACCCCGAUAAUCAAAUGCAUGACCAUCUCGAGGUAUUAUAAAACGAAUUCAAUAAGUAGUACAAUUUUUCCACAGCCCCAAAAUAUAUAAAGAAAUCAAUACGUAACUAUUUAUCACUCAAGACCAAGGCUGGAAAAUUUUCCAGCUUUUCCAUAGCUACACUUUACUUAUUUCCAAAUCGAAUUCCCAAGGUAUCAAAUGAUUCAUUGUCAAACAGAUUUCACAGCCUACGUGUGCAUUCUUUAUCAUGCAUCUCAGGUUCUUAACAUCCCAAAACAAUUCAAAAAUCUAUCUAGCAAACUACGGAUGAACCUUGUAUGGAGGAAUUUUCUGUUUUCACCUUAUUUACUCGGAUGAAGUAGGCUAUUAAACUCUCACUUUCUCAUGCAAUGACUUAGCUAAACAAUGCACAAUUUCCAUUCAGGAGUUGAAGCUAAACCACUGUUAUAAUCUUCAAGAUUUCCAGGUUCAAGUUAACGGUAAUUCACAAAGGAAUUCCAGCAAUAGCAAUGAUUUCAAAACAGAAUUUUUCUUUGGUUAAAACAGGAUUUUUGGUAUUCUAUUAGCUCUUGAAAACAUGUAGCUAGCUAGUAAAGAUUUCCAAAUCAAAUCCAGGUUCAUACUAUAACUGUAUUCAUCAAACACAAUCCAGGAUUUAUAUCAACUAAGCUCGGAUGAUAGUUCAUGAAAUAAUUUUCUGUUUUCAUUUUUAUUUUCCUGGUUAGCCAAGCUACAAAACCUUAUGCAAACUUCAAUUAACAUGUUGUUAACUAGUUAAUCAUAUACAUUAACUCGUAAAAGCCCCAUAAUCACAGAUUGAGAACUAAAAAUCCAAUUCCAGGUCUCGGAAAUUUCAGGUCAUACGAAUUCCCAAUCCACUUAAACCAGAAUUUUUUCCAAGUUCCCAAUUUCAUUAUCCACUCGUGCAACUCAACAUGCAGGCCCUUAAGUCUUUUACCUUCCCUUGGUUAGUUAAGAUAAUAACCACUGCUCAUCAAAAUUGGGCUAAUUAAACAAAUCAGUCCUUAGUCAUGCUCGGCAGAAGAUUGACAUCAAACCAGAAUUUCUUAGGUUCUUUAAUUCAUCAAUUAACUUCAUAGAAUUAACAUGCAGGGUCUUAGACAUCAUGAACAUUGAGAUUCACUCAGCUAAUUACUCUUGAGUGAUCAAAUUAUCACAGAAACACAAAAUUAUAAAUGCACUUCCAAGUCAUUUUCUCGGCAAAAUCAUUUUUCCUCAAAACAGAAUUUCUUUCUUCCUAAAUUCAUUAUCCGAGGGUCUAACAUGGACAUGCAAAGUGGUAAACAGUUUCAUUAGCUAGUAAUUAGUUCAUUAAUUCCCAACACAAGCUCGGUUUAUGACAGUUUAGCUGAUCAAAGUUGCAUUAUCAAAUUCAGCCCACGGACAUUCUGUUUUCCUUAAACCAGAAAUUUUCCAAAUUUUAUUUCAUCAUCUAUUCGCACCUAGCCAACAUGCAAAUCGAUAACUAACUUCAUCCCCUAUUAGAUAAUCAGAACUAUAAGUUCCAGAACAACAAACUGGAGCCAAGUGAGGCUGCAUUGUCCAAAUCAAUCCUCGGCAGUCUGCAUAAUCAAGAAAAAAAAUUCCAGUAGCUUGGGUUCUAGUUCUUCCUUGGGUUAUCCGUGGAGUUGGAUGCUCAAGAUUAUCAUGCAAUAGCUUAAUCAACCUUAUAACCAAUUUAAAUGGAGCUCAGAAAUCACCUCACAGCUACUAGAUUCUCGGACAGAAAAUUUGAAAAGUUCCUCCCUCUCGGCUCUCACUCACGAAGCAGAAUCUGGUUGCAGCUGGUGGUUUGUUGGUCGAAGAUGAUGAUGGUCAGCAGCUCCUACGCCCUCCACUAGCUCUCCUCUUUCUUUUCUCUAACUCACGAACAGAAAUGGAAGAUGUGCAGCUCGGUCUCUCACUUCCUCUCGGUCGAUGAUAACAAAGUGGGAGUAGAAUGCUAUCUGUGGUAGAAGGUGUGCAGAGGUUAUGGACUGAUGUUGUGAGGUGGUGCUGCGGUUUUUGGAGGAUGGUUGAGUGUUAGCAGAGCUUGUGUACGGCAGUGGUGAAGGUUGUGAUUGGCCGGCUGGGGUGGUGGAGCUGCGGUUGGCUGAAUGGAGUGGCUGGUGAUCAUGAUGUCCGGGAGUUGUUUGGCUUUGCAGAAAAUGGUCAUGGCCGUGGGUGAUGUUGUGAAGCUGUGAGGGUAUUGCAGACUUUUCACUACUUCUCCAAUUAGCCACUUAAGUCCUUGGUCCUAGCUUAGCUCCAAAAUUUGUCCCCAAGAUUGAUUUGAACGCCUAAUUGAAUCGCUAAUCUUGCAAGACUUUGGUUAUCACCAAUUUAGGUCCUAAAUAUGGUUAGGGUGCUUGUAUUAUUUUGAUCUAGAAUUUAUUGAUUACAAAUUAAUAUUAAGCUUCCUUUAACGUUUAACAUUCUUGUUUGGUUAAUUAAACUUAUUAAAAUCAAGUUUGACCAAUAUAUAAAAAUCUAACAUUUUAUGUUAAUUCGAAAAGAAAAUUUAAUCUAGCUCUACACGUCUUAACUUAGUUUAGCGAAACCAAGGAAUUCAUAACUUAGAAAAAAUUAUAUAAAUUUCCACAUAAACAUGUUUUACGUACUUAAUUGCAAACAAGUAAAAGUAGUACUAGGAAAUGUUAAAGAAUAAAAAGAAUGCAAUUUACAUACGAAAUGUUAUUUAUGUAAGCAUUUUCAGGGUUCUCACACUAACCCAUGUUUAACGGCAAAGAAAAUGAAAUGCACGCUAGUGGGACUGACCCAUGUUUAGCGGCAAUGAAAAUGAAAUGCACGCUAGUGGGACUCACCCAUGUUUAGCGGCAAUGAAAAUGAAAUGCACGCUAGUGGGACUAACCCAUGUUUAUUGGCAAUGAAAAUGAAAUGCACGCUAGUGGGUCUGACCCAUGUUUAGCGACAAUAAAAAUGAAAUGCACGCUAGUGGGACUAACCCAUGUUUAACGGCAAAGAAAAUGAAAUGCACGCUAGUGGGACUGACCCAUGUUUAGCGGCAAUGAAAAUGAAAUGCACGCUAGUGGGACUCACCCAUGUUUAGCGGCAAUGAAAAUGAAAUGCACGCUAGUGGGACUGACCCAUGUUUAGCGGCAAUAAAACAUGAAACGCAAUGUAAAUGAAAGGCUCACUAGUGGGACUGACCCAACGGCUAGUGGCAGUGUAAAUGAAAGGCGCACUAGUGGGACUGACCCAACGGCUAGUGGCGGUGCAAAAAAAAUGCUCACUAGUGGGCUGACCCAACGGCUAGUGGCGGUGCAAAAUGAAAUGCUCACUAGUGGAACUGACCCAACGGCUAGUGGCGGUGCAAAAUGAAAUGCUCACUAGUGGGACUGACCCAACGGCUAGUGGCAGUGCAAAUGAAAUGCUGGUAUGUAUGAAGAAACUGUAUAAAACUUGCUCAAAAAAUUAUCCAAAGAUUUGCCCCAGUGUGAUGAAUUGGUCAGUGGGAUUAAACCCGAGUCUGCCUUAGUUGGUGGUACAAAAUCCAAACCCAACAUGAUGUUUGUGAAGUUGGCGGCACAAAAUCCAGGCCCAACGUGAUGUUUCAAAAAAUAAGAAAUUAAAUUUGAUUUGUCAAAAAACAAGAAAUUAAACUUGAUUUUUUUUUAUUUUUGACUUUUCUGAUUUUUUUUUCUUUUUUUUCAUUUUUUUUUUGAGAGAAUCUUUUCAAAAAUAAUUCGUCCCAAUGUAGGGCCCUUUUUCCUUCUUCUUUCUUCACUUUUUUCGGUAUCAGCCUUCCACAUCACUAGCUGCUUUUUCGUUGAUUUCAGUCAUAAAUACCUACACAGGGGGCUUAUUAAAGUAUAACAUGCAUUUAAAUUUCAUUAAAAGAGCAGCGUGAUUGAUUCGAAAAUGUCUUGCUUGACUCUUGAACGAAAUCCUCAAAAGUGUUAUAAAAAUUUGCCCCAGUGUGGGCUUCUUUUGUAAAAUCUCACAAAUAAAAAUUUGCCUCAGUGUGGGCCCAUUCGAUUGCAAAAAAUUUUGUUCAGAUGAUUCCCCAUUUACUUGAACAAAGAGAAACCGCACUUUCUAAAAUUUAGAAAAUAAUCAUAUAUACAAUGUGAAGAAACUUAAACGUCGAGUUUGAACUCAUGCAGAAAUUUCAUGAUGAAUCCCUCAAAGUAACACCAAAUUCAAGAAGAUUUCUUCCUCACUUUUAGCAUCGGUGCUUAGGGUAACGGGUCACCACUUCUUGCUGGCUCAUCUUUCAGGACCAAUCAAGUGGGCGUUAUUUCUGAUUUGGAAGUGGCUAAAGGAAAUGGGAGGUCAAGAUUUUGUUUUAUUUUUGUGUCCAUUCAAAAUCACAUCUUAGUGAAAGCAAAUAGUUUAUCACCCUUAUUUCUUAAGAAAACUUAGUCAACACAUAAGCUUUGUAAGCUUGCAACAGAGGGGUAGAAACGAUACCAAAACAUGCGGAAACAGGUUAUAAUCUUAUGAUCAUGAGUGACAAGUAGAUUUCUUAGGAGCGUAACCCUUGCUUUGAAUUAUCAUGAGGGAUAAGUCAGCGAUGAACUUUACAAGCUUGUAAUGCGGCUGGAAAACGAUAGUUAAAGAAAAAAAUUUCGAGGGUAUUGCACCGAAGGUCGCAUUUUUCUCAAAAUUGCUCUCAUUUCGUACUCAAAGAUCUCGACCUUUGUUUGACUUUUAUAAUCACUCAAUAGGGACUUUCAGCAUCGGAUCUUUGUUUUUUUUGCAUUUUUCUUGCAUUUACUUUUUGCUUCUUUUUUCUUUUUUUCUUUUUUUCUUUUUCUUGACCUGGUGGGUUUUCACAUGGUGAGUAGUGUCAACCCCAUACCCAAACAAUUCAGAAAUACAGCUAAAAUUUUCUGGCAUCAGAGAUUUUCUUGACAGGGCCAUUGCAAAGAAAAGAAAUCAGGACUUUCAGCUUUUGUAAUGGGGUCUGGUAGGGUGUUUAGAAAAGUUAAGGCUUGAAGGCAGAUUUCAAAAGUGGUUUAAGUAAUAUGAGAUCGCAUUGUUGCGCCAACCCCAUUUAGGGUUAAAUCAAAGUUUGCCCCAGUUCAUUCUCCAUUGAGGCUUUUCCUUUCAUUUUCAUUCUUUUCUUUUCUUUUCUUUUCUUUCUUCUCUUUUCUGGCCUUCGGUCGUUUCAUUCACCGAGGUUUUCUUUUCUUUCAUUUUCUUUUCUUUCGGCCUUCCUUCAAAAAUUAAAUUUGCCCCAGUUUGGGGUUUUUCUUUUCCCUUCUUUUCCAAAACUCAAUUUACCCCAAUGUGGGGUUUGCGAUUCUCAGGAUUUGCCAAACGAAAUAAUUUAUCUGAAUGUUCAAAAGGGAUAACUAGGAAUAGAAUGUUUGAUUGGAAAGUAAGACGGCCUGACUUUCGCUCCAUUCCUCACAUUGACCCUGAAAGGAAACUUUCAUUAAUGCGAAAUUUCUUGCAUGUAUCUGAAUUAAUUGACUGAGGAAGACUCUUGUUCAUCCAUAUUUGUGAAACAUAAGUUAUCCGCCGGACAAAACUCGUCCUUUUUCUCUUUUCUUUUCUUUUCUUUUCAAAAUUGAAACCCAGGUAGAAUCAAAUUUUCCCAAUUUGCGGUUCCUUUUUUUUUUUUUUUUUUACAAAAUUUAGCUUUUUUUUUUUUUUUUUUUUUGCAAAUUUCCCCAAUCUCCUUCCCCAAUGUGGGGUGCGAUCAUAAGUGCAUUCAAAAAGAACCAUCUAUUUUGGCUCAAAUGAGGAUGCAAAGGGUAAUCAGUGUCUAGGUCGUAAAAACGAUGGCCAAAGCAUCAUUCUUACGCCUCAUGACAACCAAAGUAAAGAAUAGCCCAUUGAGAACCCAUUCCCUUUUGAAAAUUUUCCCAAUGUAUGGUAGUGAUCAUUAAGGCGCUUAUUUGAAACGAAAUUAUUCUUUUAAAUGCUCAAAUGGGAGAGCAAAUGAUAAAAUCUGUAUGGAUAGAGAAACGAAUAUUUAAAGUAUCAUUCCAAGUUUUCAAAACAAAUAAGAAUAAUGUAUAUUUUUGCUUUCACUUAGAUGUGGAUUGAAUCUGAUUAGACACAGUGGCCAUUUUCAAGCAAAGAUUGCCCCAAUUUACAAUUUAUCAAUCAAUGUGACUGAUUUUAUUUUGGGGUUAACAGAAAUGGGUAAAAUAUGAAUUGUACAGUGGAGGAGAAAAGGAUAUUGUAUUGGGUCUUCCGAAACCAACCAAUCAAUUUGAGUGGCUUCUUUUAAUUUCGAGCACUCAUAUUGUACAGUUUGGAUCACCAAUCUAGUGUAUACACUUGUGAGUUUUCAAGCAAGAGGUGGCAAAAUCUCAUUUUGGUCUUAUUUCUUGAAAUUCAUCCUGAAAUCUCCAAUGAGCAAAAGAAAGAAUGAAAUGUACAUGAUUAUAUACAAAAUAAUAAUUGUAUAAAUAAAAAACUUUAUUGCUAAAAGAAGUUUAAAACAAAAUUUCUUGUUCAAUUAUAAUACAAAUGAGAAGAGAAAAACUUCUAAAGAGCUCCACAUAUACAUUUUUUUUGCCUCAUUUUCUCUUGGAACAAGAAUAUAUUAACAAAUCCAAUAAACAGAAUUUUUCUUUGAAAAACAAUUAUGAAGUCUCUUAGAGGCCUUAGCCUAACGCUUCCAAAUAGAUCUUUCAUGCUUUCAUUGCAAGGUCUGCCCAAGAAUCAAGUAAUACUUGUAAUUUUCAAACUUUAUUAGAUCAAAAAUUGUUAUCAGAUAUAGAAAAAUAUUUUCACCUUAUUGAAACAUUUUAUUUUUUAUGAAUGCAGGGGAGGGGGAAAAAAAGAAAAGAAAAAAAUAUCCCGAGUUAGUAAGUAAGACUAUAAAAUCGGUAUGCAUGUCCUAUGGGGGAGCCCUUUUAUGCCAAGGGUAGACCUAGCAUGAAAAUGCAAUCCUCUGGGGUAGGCACUAUACAAUACCUGAUGAAUCCGAUCAACUGACGGGCGAAAAAUAAUUUGAAAAAUUUGACCAAUUGGAGUGAGAAGAGACAUUUGUCCUAAAAAUGAGGACAAAGUCCGAAUGGAUUGCUUGCUUUGAUCAACAUAUAAAAUGAUGUGUAAAAGAACCUACUCUUGAAAGGAUUGCAAUGUCUCGACUAAUUUAUUCUGUGAACCUUAGACUUAAACACUAAAAAGGAAUAAGCGGGUCAAGAGGAUAGGAUGAAAUUGGUGAUUUAUUCAAAAUUGACUAGAUUCCCUUAAAAAGGGUAAAAUGGUCAAAUACAUUGAAUGAAAUUUGAUUAUUUAUUCAAAAUUGAAUGGAUAACCCUGAAAAUGAAUGAAAUCAAUUGAUCAAACAGAUCGAGUGAAAUGAUGAUUUAUUCAAAAUCAACCGAAUUGUCCUAAAAAUAGGCAAACUGGUCAAAUGGAUCGGACGAAAUUGAUGAUUUAUUCAAAAUCGAUAAGAUUGCCAUAAGAACUAAUCAAAUGAAUUGAAUGAAAUUGGUGAUCUAUUCAAAAUCAACUAAAUUGCCCUAAAAUGGGUAAACUAGUCAAAUGAAUUCAAAAUCGACUAGGUUGCCCUAAAAAUAAACAAAUUGAUAAAAUGGACUGGAUGAAAUUGAUGAAUAAAAUGGUCCAAUGGAUUGAAUGGAAUUGACAGCUUACUUAAAAAUCAAUCUAUCCAUUGGUAGUUUCAAAAAUUUAUUGCGAUGCAUUAGUCUAUGAGCCUUUUAAUAUCAAAUUUUGGCCUCAAUUUAUUUAUCGUCUCAACAGUGAGGAAAUAUUGGUGAAUUUCUUCAAAUUAAUGUCCUUUACGCAAGGGAUUUUUACCAAUUUUGAUAAAAUGGCCAAAAAGUGAUUAUUAGACGCUCAUAUUCCAAAGAUCACUCUAUGAAAAUGAUCGGAUCCUACCUUACCUUGUGCACUACCCAUUUGGAUGGUACAAAAUGUAAACGUGCAAGUCUCAUUGGAUUAAGUAUCCAAGACACAGGGCAGUUUAUUCCUAAUACAAGAUCCCCUAAAUGGCAUUCCCUCUAUGGCUCAUGCAUGAUGCCAAUUUAUCAAAGCGACUAAAUAUGCAGUACACCAAAUGAAACGUGACCUAAAGGAACCCCCUUUUUGUAUGCCGGGGUGAGCCUAAAAUGAAAUGUAUUCAUGUUACAAAUGCGAAGCAUUGAAUUUAAACGUGUCACAUCAAACGGGGUAGGCUCCUAGAGAGUACCAUGCCAGGACUCUUAUUUUCUAGGGCUGAUGAAUGCAAUAGAGACAAAAACCAAGAAAAGUUAGUUCAAUCGGAUAAAUACACAUAACACAUUGUAGCAAAGCAAUACAAAGAGAUAAAGUAAUAAAAGGAAAAAAGGGGUUGGAUCCCACCCCUCGUGAAUAGUGUCCUUAAUAGGGUAAGGCAAACUCUACCCUAGGAAAACUAUCAUGGAUGCAUGAGGUAUUGGCUCACUAAUGCAUCUAGACUCGACAGGUUUUAGGUCCCCGAGCCUUCAGACUUGGAAACCAAGGGUCAUCAAUCCCAAGGUUCUUUGUCGGUGGCUCGAGCGAUUUCCCAGACAUUGCUACGCACACGUCGUGUCACGGCUACAUAUCUGAGUGAAUCUAUCAAAAAUCCUCAACCUUCGACUAAAAGCUAAAGGCUAUUAACCCAAAGCUUAAAGCGGAAGAUUGAGUGACCCCUCGGAUCAUGCUACGCACACGUCGUGUCACGAUCACACGUCCAAAUGGGUCGCCUAAUCCUAAUAGGGUGGAGUGGCGUGACAAGCCACUAAAAGAAAAAUAAAUGCGGGAUAAAAAGUAAAGCGUAUGCACGUAUGCUAGUGCUCGGUUUAGAGGGGAGAGAUCGGGAGCCAAUGCGAGGCUCUAGAGUAAUGUCCCCCCAUCCCAAUGCAAUGCAAAGCGCGGGAUAAAAUAAACUCUCCAUCCAUCAAAUCAAACGUAGGCGAAUGGGUGAGGAAGUGAGUUGAUACGCGCGAAACACAAAAAUCCUAAAAAGGAAAAAAAUGCAAUCCUAAAUAUCCAAAUGUAAUAUAUAAGAAGGAUAAAAGAAGAAAAAGAAUCGACUAAAUUAAAUGCUCGGACUCUGUAAGUCCCCAGUGGAGUCGCCAGCUGUCGCGCCCCAUUUUUUGAAAAGAAAAAUAAAUGGUUUAAAAAGUGAAUUUUGGUUUGAUUUUUUAUUUGAAAAAGGAUUUUUGAUUUAAAAAGAAAAUGGGCCUAAAUGGGGUUUGUAAUGCGACGAUUUGGGCCCAAAUUAUAGUUUAAAAAGGGUUUUUGAAAUAAAAAUCGGAGUCGCCACUUGGUAUUGAGUUAAGGUGUACCAAGUAACCUAAAAAUGAAUUUUUUAAAGAAAAAAAUAGAAAAACCCCAAUUAAACGACUCCAAGUCUACGUAAAUCAAAGAAAAAGGUUCGGGAGUCACAUUUGAAGAAAGGGAAGGUAAGGAUAAAAAUCCGAGGCACCCUUUCGACCUAGCCAAGACUAGUUGCGUGAUUUAGUCAAAGAUUUCUUAUUCUUAAUCUAAAAAUUUAUCACAUUUGGACGUACUAUAUGAAUGCAAACCCUAGAUCUAAGAGGGUGUCGGGGGGUCGAAAUGUAUCUUCAAAGCUUAUUUGGUACCAAUCACAUUAAUUGUGAUGCCCAAUGAAGACUCUUCGAAGAAGUCACGAAUAAUGCAAAAAUAUGAGACUCUAAGAAAAGAAAAGGAAUAAAAUAAUUAUACAAAUAUACAUGUCUUAAAGGAGUGCAUCAUGUCGGGUACGGGGGACUAAUGUUCGUGAUUCAAUUUUUCCUUUAAUAGAGGGAAUACGAGCGUGCUAAUACUAGAAAGCCAAACUCGUCCAUAUCCCAUAUUCAAGGGGUUAUCCCUAAUCUAAUCAAACAAAUGUACUAUUCUAAUUCUAAUUCUUAAAUGAAAUGCAAAUCUAAUGUUAUGUAUCACACAUAGGGGUAAGGAAUAUACAUAUAUAAGGGGAAAUACGGAAUAGGGGAUAUAAAUAGAAAGGAAUAUGGGAUAAAGGAUGUACAUAUAGAAGAAAAGUGUCAUGCAACAUGGAAAAGACCCUAAAAAGUGAAAACAUGCAUGAGAUGAAUGAUUUUAUCACACAACCAUGAUCUAACGUUCGAAAGGCUCCUAAGGGUCUAGCGUUGGAUUAGACCACAUCUACAAGUUCUCACUAGCGUUGGACUAGUGGAAAAUCGGAACAAAGAGUCACAACUAGCAUUGGACUAGUGUGGAUUCGAGAAAAGGGGUCACAACUAGCGUUGGACUAGUGUGGUGACGAUAUGCAUUUGUUACAAUCAAAUAAAUAUCAAAUAAAUCAUGUAAAACCUAAUAAAAGCAUGUAAACACAUAAUAUCACAUAAACACAUAACACAUAAUCAUGAUAUCUAGAUGCAAGACCCUAAGAAAGCGGUAACACAUAGCACGUAAGCAUGUAAAUCACACCAAGCAACUAAAGCAAACAAGCCCUAACUAUUACAAAAGGGGGGAGCCUACUACAAUCUAAGAGGGGGAAACGGAGUAAAAUAAAUAAAAUAAUAACAUAACUAUUAUAACUUUGGCAUUCAAGUGCCUUUCAAAUGAUCAAAAUUGAACUAAAAAUAAAUAUACAAACUAAAGCCACCAAAGAAAAUAAAUGAAAUAAAUAAAUAAGUAAUAAUAAAAACAUUUAAGAGGCAUGCAAUUAAACACGUAAAAUCACAUAGGGCACGUAGGGUCAAAUAAAGUCAAAAUAAGGGAUAGAGUGUACCUCCCUUGCAAUGGUAAUCAAACGAAGGAAAAAUAGCUUCAAAACAAUAAAAGGGUCAAGGCACCAAUUAAAUAGUAAAGUAUAAACAAAAUCGCCAAAUCCAUCCCAAUUGCAACUUAAAUGAAAUCAAAUAAUGCAUAUUUUCCAAAAAAAAGUAAAUUAUUGAUCAAAUUUCUAAAAUAGCAACUACUAAAGACCCAAUAGCAACCCUUAACCAAUCAUUUAAGUCCAAUUGAACAUUUUUGGGAAUUUCAAAGGCCCAUAAGUAAUGAAAAAGUCAAGUAAUCACAAAUAACCACAUAAAUGUUAAAGCCUUUAAGUAACUAAACAGUCCAUAUUCACAACACUAGGAUCCAAUUGAAUGGAAAAAAAAAGUUUAAGGGAGGGUCAAUUUGAUUGGUGUUUCCAAUUACUCGAGCCAUAGUAGAACAAAGGGAGACUUGGAGGGCAAAAGUGCAAUUUUUCAGAAAAUUUUCAUGCAAGUCCAUGCAAACUACGAAUGAAAUCAAGCUUCUGCAACUACUUCAUAAACCGAAAAUGAAAAUAUGCUGCACAUUUCCCUCAAACCCAGAUUUCUUGAGCAUAACUUUGAUUAGAUAUUUCCAAACCAACAUCACAAAUUCAAACUAAGCAACCAACUUCAUAGUCACCACCAUUCAAACAAGCAGGAAACUUAGCAAGAUCUGGCGCAAAAAAAAUCUGGAAAAACAUGGAAAAAUGGUUCGGCAAAACUGAUUGUUUAUUUUCCAACAUGUAUUCUAACAUGAUUCAAAUGUUUUAGACCCUAUCAUGCAAACUCAACUUUACUCAUCCAUUUUUUUUCUUUCCAACGUAAUAUCUACAAGCAAGUUAGGUGUCAAAAUUUGGUGAACAGUCGCGAAAAGGAAAAACAGCAAAGAGGACGCAGCGGCUUUUGUUCUGCUGCAAAUUUUGCAGCUUCAAUUCGCGUGGCACUCAAACCAAAACAUCUAUAGUUUAGACCAAAACAAACGAGUUCACUACCAAUCAUUCAAUUACCUCUUUUCAAAAAAGUCAGAUUAACUAGCUUCUCUACCAAACAACAAAGCUAUGAUCUCAAGCAUCAAAACCACCGAAACUCGACAUUCAAGCAAACAAUUCUUAGGCAACAAUUCUAUUCUUCUGUUACUCCUGGGUUUACUUUAACAGGUUCACAGGCUACACAAAACAGUCUCCAAACUAACAAAGAGCAUGCAAUCUGUACAACCAAAAACUAAAGUAGCAUGGACAACAACAAAAGACGGCAAACUCGUGAAGCUCCGCUGUUUUUCUGAGUUCAAACUCAGCAAACGUCACACAAGUUAAGCAAAAUAGAGCAAUUAACCGUGAAUCAUGAACCCAAUCCAAACUUUCUACUAAUGUGUCAAGAUAGAAAAAAAAAUUCCCAUGUUUUGGCCUGAGAAUCAAAUUGAAACAGGACCCAUCCCUAUAUCUAAUCAUGCCCAAGAAAAGACAGAAUAAAAACUUGUAAAGUUGGAAACUUUCUACAUUCUCUCACUCGGCUAAACAUAUUUGUGCAAUAACUCCCACAAAACCUAUUGAUUCAUUACCCAAAACCCAGAAACCCAGAUGUUAUAGCUAUCUAAUGUUAUUAAGAUUAUCUCAGCGCAACCACUAAUUACCUACGGCUGCAACAUACAAUAGAAGAUAAGAAAUGCUACGGAGACAUAAAGAAAGAAACUUGCAAUGAAUUCAUGCCAUAAUGUGUCAAUCGAACAACCAACAAGCACAGUACAUCAUAAGAACAAACUCUAGGAAAGGCAACUAAACGAAUUCUGUGGAGAGUAAGUAACCCCAACGUACCUAAACGCAGAUGAACAACAAAAGGGACAGCUUUGGGAGCGGUUUGUUCGGCAAAGUUAGACGGCAGCAAUGGUGACAGCAAGGAAGACAGCUCUAAUUCCGCUCUUGGAUUUCUCUGUUUCCUUUUGCUAUUUUUUCCCUCUGGUUUCUAUCUCUCUUCUAUCUCUCUAACCCUAACCGCCUCUUAUUUUCAUCAGCCGUUACUCUCUCCCUCGCUCUCUCUCGGUUUCUCUCUUCCCUAGCCGUCAAAACUCUCAGCCUCACUCCCAAAACCCCAGCCGCUGUACCUUACCCUUUUUCUUUUCAGUCGUUCCUCCCAUGUUCGGUAGCCUUUGAAGUUCUCACUCAGUCCCUCGUUCUCUAGUUUCUUUUUUCCAGCCGAGCUUCCUCACUUGCUCCAGUUUCUCUACCCGAUCCUUUCUCCUAGCUCUCUCUCGGUUUCUCUCCCCCCACACCUUUUUCCUAUCCUUUCCACUGCCUUUCUUUUUCCGCCGUCAUCUCCUCCAAUUCUUCUUUUUCUGUCCCCUUUUUAUAUCGAGUGGCCAAAUCCAAAACCCUGAUAUCAAGGGUUGUCACUAAACCUCAGCUCCAUUUUCUUUCUUUCACACCAUUAGAUCAUCCUUAGCUUUUCGGAUGAGAGCCAAGUGGAAUGGGGUUAAAGGUAAUUCAGUUGUGAUGAAAAAAAAUGGUGGGAAAAAGAAAAUAAGAUUGCGCUGCACUUUCUCGUAUUUUAGCUUCAUGUUUCUGCUUGACAAUGAAAUAUGGAGAUAGAGCUCGGAUCACAUGCAGCUCGCACAAGCAUGAGCUUGGUCUGUUCCAUUUUUUUUCUUUUCUUUUUUUUUUGAUUGAUGAUUUUAAAACAAUUAAAAUAAAAUAAGAGACACGAAACACAAAUAAUAUAAUAUAAUAUAAAAUAAAAUAAAAAUAAAAAACCUAAAAUUGAAACAAAUAAAUCUAAAAUUAAAUUAAUUAAAUAAACAAAGUUUAAAAUCAAAAAUUUGGUGUCAACAUAAGCCUUUUGGCUGAACCGAGCCCUUAUCCCUCAUUGCCAGUCGACUCGAGCCAGAAGCGGAUUCAGUCGGGUAGCUGAUGACCCUGGGACUGUUUGGUAUACUUGAGUACUAUCACGAAAUCUGGUGGAGAACUAGCCAAUGAAUUCAAUGCAAUGAAAUCAAUAAAUGAAUAACAUGAAUAAUGAAGGAGUUUUCACUUGCAAAUGUUUUCUAAUGUCGGAGUGAUAAGGAAAAUGGUUGGCGAAUGAAUGAAUGAAUAAUUUGAAUGAAUGGCUCCAAGUGAGCACGUAUCCUUUCAAUGAAUGAAUGAUUGAUUCUUGAAUAACUGCUUAUUACUAUGCCAAGUGUGUAAAGUGCUAAAUGUAAAUAUUUCUGUGUUUUGUCUACUUGAUUGCUUGUUUGGGAAUCUCACUGGAUUUUUAGUUCAUUCCAUUAGCUUGUUUUCCUUACAGGAGUGGAGGUUGGAGCAACUAAGCGUGAACUAGUGUGUAUAAGUUUCUUGUACUUAUACUUUUAUGGAUUGAAUGUAUUUGGCAUAUUUGGCAAUGCAAAGCUACAUUUCAUUUUUGGCUUGUAAAUGAAAUGAAAUUAUGGUUGAUUUGAGGACCUUCUAUGUUAAUCUAGAGGUGUAAAGACCCAUUUUCAAGAAUGCCAGUGAGUGAGUCCCGGCGAGAGUUGGGCAGGCAGUCCGCCAAACCCUUGGGUUCGCCUAGGGAGAGGUGCGGUCGUCACAACAAUGACCAACUAAAGUGAGUUAAGGCCGUGAGUUUCUUUUGUUUACAAAGUUCUAAUUAGGUUAAGAGUUGAGUCUUGUAAACCUAUAAAAAGGCAACUCUUUCGAUUCAAUAGGAGGAGAGAUGAUGUUAUGAAAGAAAAUUGAGAAUUCAUCUCUUUGUUGUUCCUUGUGAGCACCCUUGAUACAAAGUGAGUCAUGUUUUCUUUGUUCAAGUUUUGGCUUAUCAAUUCAAGACCGCAUUGAAUUGUGGUGGCUUCUACCCUUCUAACCAAUCUCGAGCUGUCCUUGAUUGGAUUAGAAUCCACCCAAUUUUGUCCAUAAUUUGAUUAAAAUAGAUCCUUUCGCUGCUUGAUUAACUGGAUUUUUCAAGACAGGUUCUUGCUAGGUCGAAUUCACAUCAUCUGGUAUCAGAGUUUCGACUCUUGAUUUAGGUUAAUAUCCCUUUUCUUUUCUUUUUUUUUUUUACUCUUUGUUCUUCUACCAAACACUGUCUUAUUUGAAAAAAAAAAUUCUAUUCAUCGUUCUAGGGUUUGAAUCUUCAUAGUUUUAUUCAUGUUCUUGCUUCUAGUUGUGUUUAUGUCUUGCUUUUAUUCAAUUUGCAAUCUUUUGGUUGUACAAAAAAAAAUUCCAUCCAUGGUUAUCAAGAAGAACCAUGAGGGUUUCUUCAUGUGUCCAGUCUAGUUUCUUGUUGUUCAUUAUGUUUGUUUCUUGUGUAAUUUGCCUGAAUCUUAAGUUGUUGUUUCUUGUUAGUUUUUCUCUAGAAUUUUGUGUUAAAUUCUGGUGUUUUUUGGUUGGUAUUGGUUCCAGAAAAUUUGACACAAAAAAAGAAAAAAAAUCCCAGCUGAUAGGGUUUAUUGUAUUCCAUCGCAUUUUGGUUCUUGUGUCAAGUUGUUUGUUGCUAAUUGGCCAAAACUUGGAGUUGCUAUUCUCUAUUGAUUCUGUCCAAAUUAUAGUGUUAAUUCUUGUUGUUAAUUCAUGUCAAUUGGUCACAAUUAGUCCAACAAAAAUUCGAAGACAAAAAUCCAGCCGUUAGAGUUCGUGUUUCUUGUUUCUGUCUGCAAUCGUUUUGAAUGACUAUCCUCACUUCUUGUUUCCAGCACCUUGUUUGAUUGUUUUUUCAUGAUUUUGUUGAAGUUUGAGUCAAGAAAAUGUAUACCAAUCAUUAGUUCUUGGGAAACAAAUCACUGGUCGCGACUCUCCUGAAGAAUUUGAUUCCUUGUUCUAGGAUUCUUGUUAGUCUUCAUUGUGAUUCUGGAAUUUUGUAAAGAAAGGUGGACAGACCGUGCAUAAUUUCUUGGAACUUUGAAUCACAAUUCUAGGUUUCUUGAAGUUCUUGAAUUGUUCAAGCAACAAUCUUUAAGUUCUUGAAGCAACAAUCUUGAUUCUUGAAGUUCAACUUUCAAACAUGUUUUGUGAAAAAUCAAGGUACCUUGAGUUGUUUGGGGGGGGGGAGAAGCUUCAAGUUUUUGUUGUUUCUUGAUUCUGGAAACAUCUUCAUACAACCUUGUGCGAAAUUUCAAAAAUUUUCUAGGUUUUGGGGGCUGAAACCUGAUCAUACCCAAACCUACAAAUUUUCUAGCAGCUAAGCCUCUUGUUCUUGUGUUCUUGACUGGUUUGAUUUUAACCAGAAUUUGGGCCACGAAAUUUUAUUGUUAUAGCCACAAAGCUUGAACCAUUAGACACAGAAAUCACACCCUGAUUGGUGCUUUUGAAAGUGACAAUACGCCUAAACAGAAAACAACAUAACAUUAGCUUCUACCAAUCCAAUCCCAAUUUGGACUACAAGUUUCUUAAUCCGACAGCUGUUUUGACCAAUUCUUGUUGAAAGCUCGGUGAAACCAGCUUUGAAAUCCCUAUUUCUUUGGGAAAUGGAGUUAGUUCCAGAGUUGUUCCAAGUCAAUAAGUCCAAAUUACAUUCCAAAUCACACCAGUCACAAACAAAGUCAAGAAACUACAAUUGUUUCACUUGUUCCAAUUGCCUUGCAUCAAGUCUUUAGAUUUUCCUCGUGUCUUUGUUAGUUUCCUUUUUCCAGUAGCAUCCAACCAAAUAUUUCAUUCUUGGAGUCCAGAAAUAAUGUCCAUAUUUUCCAGAAUUUUAGUCCUAAGAUCGGCAACAAAAAAAUUCCAGAUUUCUCAAGUGUCGAAAUUCUAGUUUUUUUUGGUGUCAUUCUUAUUAGUCUUGUGUUGCAACUUUGCUUGUUGUUUGAGCCGAUAAUUAUUAGUUAAUACUAAUUUCUGUUAGUGUGGCUUUAGUCCCACAUCACUAAUAGCAAAGGAAAUUCUUUUCUUUGUUACCUAUAAAUAUAGGGAGCUUGAGUUGGAAUUAAGAGUACCAAACUAAGAGAGCAUUAGUGAGCUAUUUGGGCCUUUGGGUCAUUAAGUCUUUUGUUCAGUUAAAUAUUUUGGACUCUCUUGUGUUUUAGUAUUAGGUAUUUUGGGCCUAGUAACAUUUUCCUAAGGCACUUAUGUACCCUCUUCUUCAUAGUAAAAUAUUGCUCCUCCUCCGCCCGUGGAUGUAGGUCAAUUUGACUGAACCACAUAAAUUCCUAUGUUCCUGUUUUAUUUAUUUCUGCUUUGUUAUUUGUCUUUUGGGGUUGUCAAAAAUCCUUUCGUCAAUUUCCUAGGGCCAGUUCUAAUAAAGUGGUAUCAGAGUUUGAGGUUAUUCUGAGUAUGCUCUGUGGUCACAGUUAAAUCUGAUCUUCCACAUCAGAAAAGAUAUCCUUGGACUCUAAUCCAUCUGUGGGAUCCGUCUGUGGGACCAGUAGAGUCUGUUUGUGGGGUCCGCUUGUGGGACCAGUAGGGCCUGCCCGUGGAGUCCACUGGUGGGGUCAGUAGGGUACUCCUGUAGGGCCAGUAGGACUUGUCUGUGAGGUCAGCCUGUAGGGUCCACUCAUCUUAUGGGACCUACUCAUUGUUAUUCGGAGAUUUUGAAUUUUGUGGCAACAAUGACAAUAACAAAGACUGUCGUCGAGAAAUUCGACAGGAAUGCCAACUUCGGGAUGUGGCAGCUCAAGAUGGAGACCAUUUUGGUUCAAGACAGAGUUCAUCUAGUGAUACACGGAAUCGAGAAAAAGUCAGAGCAUGUGACAGAUGCAAAAUUUGUUGAGAUGGAUAAGAAGGCAAGGUCUAGUAUUAUCUUAAAUCUCUCUGACAAGAUUUUACGGGAGAUAGCCACUGAGACUUCAGCAAAGGCCAUAUGGGACAAGAUUAAAGUCUUGUAUGUGAAAAAGACAGUUGAGAAUCGGCUUUAUUUAAAGCAAAAUCUAUAUAUGCUUCGCAUGACUGAAGGUACAUCUAUACUCUCACAUCUUGAUAAAUUUGAUUCCAUUAUUAUGAAUUUGGAGAAUAUAGAUUCGAAUAUUGAUAAUGAGGAUCAGGCUCUGUUACUUUUGUGUUCCCUUCCCCAAUCAUUUAAACAUUUUCGCGAUACUAUGAUUUAUGGAAAAAAAAUAAUUUCGUAUCGAAAAAUUAAAUUUGCAUUAAAAUCUAAGGAGCAGAUAGAUAGGGAUAUUACUGGAAAAUUUAGUGCAGGUCAGGCAGAAGGUCUGGUUGUUAGGAAAUGAGAGAAGAGAAUUUGACAAAAAUAGAUCUAAAUCCAGACAUAGAAAUGUGGAGUGCAAUUAUUGUCAUAAAAUGGGGCAUAUUAAGGCAGAUUGUUUCAAAUUGAAAAAUAAAUUGAAACAAAAGGGGAAACCUGGUGAGCAAAAUAUUGAGAUUGCCGAAACUAGUGUUGCAGCUGAUGAGAAUGAAGGAAAUAUUUUCUUUGUGACUGAUGACAGGACAAGGUCUAAAAAUGAAUGGAUUUUAGAUUCGAGGUGUUCUUAUCACAUGUGUCCCAAUAGGGAUUUAUUUUCCACUUAUGAAUCUUAUAAUGGUGGAAUUAUUUUGAUGAGCAAUAAUGCCGCUUGCAAUGUUGUUGGUAAGGGUACAAUCCGAAUUAAAAUGCAUGAUGGUAUUGUGAGGAAGCUCAUUAAUGUUAGACAUGUUCCUGAUUUGAAAAAGAAUUUCAUCUCUUUGGGCACCCUAGAGGCUCUUGGUGCAAAUACACAGUUGAAAAUGGCAUUAUAAAGGUUUCUAAAGGUGCUCUCGUUGUAAUGAAAGCUUGCAGGGUUGGUAGUUUAUAUGUUUUGCAGGGAGCUACUGUCACAGGCUACGUUGCAGUUUCGUCAUCAUCAUCUUUGUCUGAUUCUGACAUUACCAAAUUGUGGCAUAUGCGUUUGGGAUAUAUGAGCGAGAAAGGCUUGGGCAUUCUAAGCAAAAGGGGACUUCUUUGUGGUCAGAGUACUAGAUCAUUGGAAUUCUGUGAACACUGUAUCUUUGGGAAGCAAAAAAGAGUUAGCUUCCGUUCUCCAACAAUCCAUUAGACGAAAGGUACUCUUGAUUAUAUUCAUUCAAAUUUAUGGGGUCUAUCUCGUGUACUGUCUAAGGGUAGUGCCAGGUAUAUGUUGAAUUUCAUUGAUGAUUAUUCAAGAAAAGUUUGGGUUUAUUUUCUUAAACAUAAGAAUGAUGUUUACCUCACUUUCAAGCAAUGAAAAGUUUUGAUUGAGAAACAAACAGGUAAAUAGAUCAAGCGGCUUAGAACAGAUAAUGGCAUGAAAUUUUGUAAAAGAGAAUUUGAUGAAUUUUGUAAGAAUGAAGAAAUUGUUAGGUAUCACACUGUCAGGAUGACGCCUCAACAAAAUGAUGUAGCCGAACGUAUGAACAGAACACUUUUGGAGAGAGCGAGGUGCAUGAUCUCUAACGCAGGGUUGGCAAAGGAUUUUUGGGUUGGAGCAAUUUCUAUGGCCUCUUAGAUUGUCAACCGUGCUCCUUCUACUGCUCUAAAAUUCAAAACUCCUGAGGAAGUUUGGUCAGGUACUCCUGCUGAUUAUUCUGAUUUUAAAAUUUUUGGGUGUACAGCAUACAUGCAUGUAAAUGAUGGAAAAUUAGAAUCUUGAGCUAAAAAGUGUAUUUUUCUUGGGUUUGCUUUUGAGGUGAAAGGAUACAGAUUAUGGUGUCCUGAUCCCAAAUUUCCAAAAUUUAUAAUCAGUAGAGAUGUUACUUUUGAUAAAUUCUCUAUGUUAUCUUCCAAGAAGGAGUCGUCUAGUUCUUGUCAAACAGAUAAUAGUAUGCAGAAGCAGGUGGAGCUUGAGAUUGGUAGUUCUGGUUCUUCUAUUCAACAAGUACCAGUAGAUGCAUCUGAAUCCACUGAUGAAAAUAAUUCAGAAGAGAAAAAAUAUUCUAUUACCAGAGAUAGACCAAGGAGGGAUAUUCGACAACCACAAACAUAUACAAAUUUGGUUGCAUAUGCUUUGUCUGUCGCAGAAGAAACUGAUGUAGUUGAUGAGCCUACUACCUAUUCAGAUGCGAUUUCUUGUGAUGAUUCUGCUAAGUGGUUGGUUGCGAUGAAUGAAGAAAUUGAGUCUCUCCAUUGAAAUGCUACUUGAGUUCUUGUGAAGCCGCCUCCAGAUAAGAAAAUUAUUGGAUGCAAAUGGAUUUUCAAGAAAAAGUUAGGUAUUCCAGGGGUUGAAGAUGCAAGGUAUAAAGCACGAUUGGUUGCAAAGAAUAUAGUCAGGUACAAGGUGUUGAUUUUAAUGAAGUAUUUUCACCAGUUGUUAAACAUAGCUCUAUUCGUGUUUUGUUUGCUUUAGUUGCCAUGAAUAAUUUGGAGUUGGAGCAGCUUGAUGUUAAGACAGCUUUCUUACAUGGUGAACUUGAAAAAAAAAAUUAUAUGAAACAACCUCAGGGAUUUGAAGUUGAAGGAAAGGAAGACCAUGUUUGUUUGCUAAAGAAAUCCUUAUAUGGAUUGAAAUAGUCUCCAAGACAAUGGUAUAAGAGAUUUGAUACUUUUAUGUUGAGUCAUGGUUAUUCAAGGAGCAUGUAUGAUCGUUGCGUUUACUUCCAGAAGUUAGAUGAUGGUUCCUUCAUUUAUUUGUUGCUUUAUGUUGAUGACAUGCUCAUUGCUGCCAAGAAUUUGUCAAAAAUUCACACUUUGAAGUUGCAGUUAAGUAGUAAAUUUGAAAUGAAACAUUUGGGAGCAACUAAGAAAAUUCUUGGCAUGGAGAUCAAAGGGACCAAGGAGCUAGAAAAUUAUUCUUGACUCAAGAAAAUUAUCUUGAGAAGGUCUUGGAGAAGUUUGGCAUGAAAGAUGCUAAACCUGCGACUACUCCUCUUGCUAGUCAUUUUUGACUAUCUGCUACUCAGUCACCAUAGUCAGUUGAAGAGAAAGAGUAUAUGGUACGAGCUCCUUAUUCCAAUGUAGUCGGCAGCAUUAUGUAUGCAAUGGUUUGCACUCGUCCAGAUAUUGCACAAGCAGUCAGUGUGGUUAGCAGAUAUAUGUCUUGUCCUGAAAAAGCACAUUGGCAGGCUGUGAAGUGGAUUCUCAAAUAUUUGUGAGGGACUUCAAACUGUUGUUUGGAGUUUGGGAGAAAUAAUGACACUUUGGUUGGUUUUGUAGAUUCUGACUAUGUCGAGGAUCUUGACAGGAGAAGAUCACUCUCAGGUUAUGUAUUUUGCAUUGGCGGUUGUGCAAUUAGUUAGAAAGCUACUUUACAACCUGUUGUAGCUUUAUCUACUACAGAGGCAGAAUAUAUGGUCAUGACCGAGGCAAUCCAAGAAGUCUUGUGGUUGAAGAGUCUGUUUGGUGAACUUAGUCUACAUCAAGGUGUUACUACUAUUUACUGUGAUAGUCAAAGUGCCAUUCAUUUGACUAAAGACCAGAUGUAUCAUGAGAGAACGAAACACAUUGACGUGAAAUUUCAUUUCAUUCGAGAUACUAUUGCUGAGGGAAAAGUCCUUAUUCAGAAAAUCAGUACCAAGGAGAAUCGUGCUGACAUGUUCACGAAACCUUUUCCAGUUUACAAGUUCAAACAAUGCUUGAAUUGGGUUGGUAUUCGUUGUUAGUGAUUUAGACCCAUUGAGACUUAUGUGGAGAAGGUGGAGCAGUUUUUUGCUAUUGUCGAUGUUGGGGAUACGCCAAGGUGGAGAUUUGUUAGUGUGGCUUUAGUCCCAUAUCGCUAAUAGCAAAGGAAAGAAUUUCCUUUGUUACCUAUAAAUAUAGGGGGCAUGUGUUGGAAUUAAGAUCACAAAUCAAGAGAGCAUUAGUGGGUUAUUCGGGCCUUUGGGUCAUUAAGUCUUUUGUUCAGUUAAAUAUUUUGGGCUCUCUUGUAUUUUAGUAUUAGGUGUUUUGGGCCUAAAAACACUUUCCUAAGGCACUUUUGUACUCUCUUCUUUAUAGUAAAAUAUUGCUCCUGCUCCGCCUGUGGACGUAGGUCAAUUUGACCGAACCACAUAAAUUCCUGUGUUCUUGUUUUAUUUAUUUCUGCUUUGUUAUUUGUCUUUUGGGGUUGUCAAAAAUCCUUUCGUCAAUUUCCUAGGGCCAGUCCUAACAAUUUUCAACCUAAAAUACAUCUUCAAAGUUCAAGUUGUCUAGCGUUAAAAUUUUUCAGAUUUUGAGUCAAGUCUCAUUGAGUCACAUUCGAGCUAUUUUCUUGAAGCUCUACCCAUUGCCACUUGUUAAUUGAAUUAUUGAACCAUUUUGAUCAAUUGCGAGUAAUUCAUAUUGUCUUAAGGAUUGUGAGCAAGGACUUGAAAGAGUGGUAAAAUUAUUAGAGUGUGUAAAUUUGAGUGAUACACGAGUGACGGGCACAUACACUUGAGCUUGUAUUUGUGAGGAAUUUCUUUUCUUUGCUAACUAAUUUUGCAGGUCACUUAACCAUGCCAAAUAGAGCUGUAUCUCGUUCACACCAUCAAGAAUUCUUGGAGUAAGAACCUUCCAAGAGAAGGGGUUUUGAUCACUCUAGCUCCAAAACUUCUUCGAGAUUGUUGCAUUCACAACAUGAGUUUCGUACACUUCGAGAGGAAAUGGAUCAUUUCCGUGCUUUGUGUGUAUAUGAAAUAUAUAAGCGUACUUGUCAUCAAUAUGAGGAGGAGCAAAAAAGUUUGCAUCAAACAUCUAAGUCAAGGACAUCCUCAAGCAAAUGAGAUUCAUCUAAGGAAUGUCGUGACAAUCGAGCCAUGGAGCCGAAAAAGUCUCGAAUUGAGUCAAAGCCGCAUGAACUAAACGAUGACUUCCGGAGUUCGACUAAAGACUUGGUUGAUUCUAUGAUGGGAGAAAUUUGCCAAGUACUGAAUUCAUACUUCAAGCAACUUAAUCACGUGACAACCAAUGGUAAUAAAGGAGAUGUUCCUUCUAGUCCGCCAUUGAUUGAAGAAAAAAAUGAAGAGUCAAGUAAGAUGAGUGAGCAAUGUGCCGAAAAGAAUAGAGUGGAAAAAGGCAAAAAUAAUUUGGCUUUAGUGCAAAAUAACAAGGAAAAAUUGAGCAUGUUUGCAAAAGUCGAGAGUGUGAGAGUUUUAUUUUCUAACAAUCUAACGUGUUUUGUUUAGUAUUUCUUCCUUUGUGCAGAUCAAGCUGACGGGUUUUAGAUAUUAGUACAAGUUUAAUUCCAAAAUAUACCCACUUUGCUGCAAGUAUAUAGAUCAACUAGUAGUUUAGGGUAUAAAUGAUAAGGAUACGGCGCACAACAACUCCAACCUUGGGUCAAGGACCCUUUGAUCAACAUUGGUGGUCCGAUGACAAGAUCAAGAACCAAGAAGGUGAAGGAAGCUUUACGAGCCUUGAUCAUUCACCGUACAAGCAAGGAGCAAGCUAGGUUUGAUGAUUCGAUGGACCAUGAAGUUACUUUGUUCACUUGUACGUUUGAAGCGAAGGAAUGAUCUCAUACUUGACUGUCUAGUUUAGUAGUUGUUAGGCGUUUAGUAUUUUAUUGGGCCUUAUCGGAAAGCCUUAAAGAGCUGGCUCUUUAAGCUCUUUAUGCGGACCGAAUUUCUUCCAGGUUUAUGUGGGCCGGAUUUUGCCCUAGUUUUAGCCUAUAAAAAGGCAUCUCUUGUAAGAUUAAAGGACAGAGAUUAUUACAACCAGAAAUCGUGAGGAAUUUUCUUUCAAGUUCUUAAUCGAACUUACUCUUGAAUUCUUGAGUUAUGGCUUAGGAUUCAAAUCAGACUUUAUCGAUUAGCUUGUUCCCUAAUCGUGGUGUCGUUUCAUCCAUCCUUAUUUGCUUAAGGUUGCUGAUUACCUUUGUGUGUCAGAGGCCUUGAGUUCAUGAGAACAAUCGAGUUCAAUUUCUGUUGGGAGAAAAGAUCCAACUCUGAUAAUUACAAGGUUGGGAGGUUCUAGGAGGGUCUUCCCCUAGGGUUGCCUAUAUCAGUUGGUAAUCAGAGCAUCAGGUUAAUUCUCUUUUAAUUGAAGUUGUUCAUAUCUUGUUAGUUUGUGUCUUUUGUCAAAAAAAAAAAACAAAUUGUAGCGAUUACUGUUCAUCGUACUGUAGCGUACUGUUCACGUUACUGUUCAUCCGAGUCAAAAAAAAAAUCUGUUUGGUGUUGUCUUUUUGUGUUUUCUGUCCAACUUUUGUUCUUGAGUCUGUUAUACUUUUGUUUGGGUUGUUAGGGUUUAAAGACAAACAAAAAAAAGAGUCACGUACCUUAUUGGUGUGAUCCGAUUUCUGGGUGGUUCCCCUAGGGUUGUCCAAGUUCUUGGGUUUGUUAUACUUGUGUUUGGGUUGUUAGGGUUUAAAGACAAAAAAAAAAAUAAAAGAGUCACGUACCUUAUAUUGUUUAGUGAUCAAGUUGCUAGAGUAUUGCUGGAAUUUUCUUUUGAAUAUUGCUGAAAUUCUGUUUUGCCUAUUUCUUGAGAAUUGGUUGUUUCUGCAAACUCUAGACACCGCAACAUAAUUUGGGAAAUUUCUUGUGUUUCUUGAACAAAUUCUUGAAGUUCUUGGACCACCAAGUCUUGAUUUGAAAAUUCUUGAACAAUAAACCAAGAACUAGGGUUUUCUUGGAAUUGGCAUAACCUUUCAUCCGUUUUCUUGAACUUGUUGGUGUGAUCUGAAUUUGUGGAACUUGAAGAGCUGAGAAAAAAAAGAAAAAAAAAAGAAAAAAAAACGAAAGAGAAAAAAAAAGGAAGAAGAGAAGGAAUUGGCUCUCAUACAAAGGAAAUCAAGUUUCCAAAAAAAAUCGUGAGUCUCCAAUUCUUGGUGGGUUUCCAAAUCUUGAUUAAUCUCCAAAUCUUGGUUGAUUUCCCAAAACUUGAGUUUCCUAAUCUUGAUUGGUUUCCAACUCUUGAGUUCCAAUCUUGAUUGAAUUCCAAAGACCCCAAACGACCUAACCAGCCCCAAACACACCCAAUUCCGUUUUCAAAACCAAACCAAACACCUUAGCCCAAAUCACCUUGGGAGUUCUUGAGUUUCUAAAAUCGGUUGAGCUAGUUUUGCGAUCCGAUUUGACUGAAAUUUGAGGACUGGUUCGUACAUUAUUUGAGCACCCCAAAAGCACCAUUUAUACUCCAAAAUACUGACCAGAAAUUCAGCAAAGCAACAGCUCAAAGAAAAAAAAAAAAAGAGUUUCAGCUUCGGGUAGAGUUUUUCUAAGAUUUGCAAAAUUCUGCUUGGUGUCUUGUUACUUGCUUAUAGAGUCAUUAAUUCUGGAAUUUUUGAGAGUUUGAGUUGUUUUAAGAACUUCGAGAAGGAAAAUUGAGAGUGAGUGUGUUUCCUUGAGUGAUACACGAGUGCUUGCAAGGUAGACUAGGAUACAUUUGUUUUGCAGGUUGGACAAUAUGUCUCAAGAGGGGAACAUGCCUGAGCCGUCUGAGACCGACGUGUCACUCAAACUGGUGCUCCAAACUCUUCAAAAACAAGCGGAGAGACAUGAAUUUACGAUGGCACAAAUAUCCGACAGGUUGGCUGCCAUUGAGAUGCGAGGUACUGGAGAUAUUCCCAAUAGGGCUUCAAGUGCUCAGAGUGUUGAUCAUGAUGCGGAUGAUGAGGGAUAUCAUUCUAACAUCUCCUUUCGAUCAAGAAAAAGCCAGAGGGAAGCGAGGGAAGGUCGAGACCGACCUAGGAGAACCGAUGACAAUCUUGGUUCCAUCAAGACCAAGAUGCCUACCUUUCAUGGGAAAAAUGAUCCUGAAUCUUACUUGGAUUGGGUUAGACGAGUUGAGCAAGUGUUUGAAUUCCACAACUACUCUGAAGAGAAAAAGGUGAAACUUGCAGCUAUUGAAUUUCAAGAGUAUGCAUUUAUUUGGUGGGAGCAAGUAUGUGCCACAAGGAGGAGAAAUAGGGAACAACCGAUUGACACUUGGACUGAAAUGAAGCAAGUGAUGAGAAAACGAUUUGUACCCUCCCAUUAUACUACGGACUUGUACGAUCGGCUCCAACGAGAGAACGAAUCUCUCAAGAGGAGAGGUUCCAUGCAAUCUACCUCUUUAAAGCCGGUUUAUACAAGAGAUGACAAGAAGGUUCAUUCAACAUUUUCUAGGACUAAACCUAGAGUUGAACCACCUCAUGCGGAGUCAUUUUGGGAGACAUAUCAACGUCUUCUACACCAAAAACAAAUGGAGUCAAAUGGAUGCUAUCAAAGUGAGUUUUCUAAGAAGGAGGUAGCUGACCCUAUUCCCAACAAAGGAGUACCUCAUCCUAUUGAACCAUUUGUUGAGGAGGUUGAUAAUGAGAAAACAAUUGAGAGCGUUAAGCUAGAUAACGAGAUGGAAAAAUCUGAUGAGAUGAGUGGUAAAAAGGAAGAAAAGAGAGAAAGUGAGACGAUUUUGAGCAAAAAUGUGAGGGCUUAUUGUUUUUCUAACGAACUUACCUUUGCUUUAUUUAGUGUUUCUUCAUUUGUGCAGGUUAAGCAAAGUCAAGUGAAGUUAGUCAUGCCAUGCUCCAUUCCAAAGUCACUUGUACAAUUCACUAGUUUCCAUGGAGUUUGUCUUUUAGGAAUUGAAUCUAUCUGGAAUCAUCUCAUGGAACAAUUUCAAUUCAAAUCUGUCCAUACCAAAGGGGAAUCACGUCAAAUCCACCAUGAAGGGAGAAUUCCGAAAUUUGACUCUCAUUUGCUACCUAUGGGUCAUUCAUCAUCUUUACCUUCUUUUGAGUAUAAUCUCCAUCCUAACACUUGUAUUUCUUAUCCAGAUUUUGAAGAAAAGUGUAAAAGGCUAGCAAUGCCUUCUCAAGUUGAAUCAAUUGGUGGAAGGAAUAAUAAAGUGGCAAAGGGAGUAUUCACAUUUAAAACUUAUUCUAUACCUUCUUACCAUUUAGUUGAUGAUGUACCAUUACUUCUUUACCCAAUUUUUAAUUUGUUUCAAGUUGAAGGUUAUUUUGUUUUUGUAGGUUGUAAAGCUGUCCAAAAUUUUUCAGUUUUGAUUAAAGACUUACAACCUGAUUUCGUGCUUAUUCCACCUAAAGGUGGUGAUCUUUCAUGCUUAGUCACACAACUAAAAGCUGGUGGCCAAGUGCUCAAUUUGUCAACUUCAACUUGUGCUAGUUCGAGUAACCCUCAUGAAGUGGAAUUCAAUUGUUUGCUACCUUAUAUGUUGGAAGAAGAGAAAUUGCGUGUCACGCAAGAUCCCAAAGCCAUCCUCCACGAGUUGUUUAGUGCUUCAUCCAUGCAACAACAUGCUCACAAUUUAUCCAUGCAAGAUGAUUCAAAUCAAUGUUAGGCAACCCUAGGGGAAGACCCUCCUAGAACCUCCCAACCUUGUAAUUAUCAGAGUUGGAUCUUUUCUCCCAACAGAAAUUGAACUCGAUUGUUCUCAUGAACUCAAGACCUCUGACACACAAAGGUAAUCAGCAACCUUAAGCAAAUAAAGAUGGAUGAAGCGACACCACGAUUAGGGAACAAGCUAAUCGAUAAAGUCUGAUUUGAAUCCUAAGCCAUGAACUCAAGAAUUCAAGAGUAAGUUCGAUUAAGAACUUGAAGGAAAAUUCCUCACGAUUUCUGGUUAUAAUAAUCUCCGUCUUUUACUCUUACAAGAGGUGCCUUUUAUAGGCUAAAACUAGGGCAAAAUCCGGCCCACAUAAACCUGGAAAAGAUUCGGUCCGCAUAAAAGAGCUUAAAGAGCCAGCUCUUUAAGGCUUUCCGAUAAGGCCCAAUAAGUAAUAAAAUACUAAACGCCUAACAACUACUAAACUAGACAGUCUUAAAACAACUACCAACUAAGCUAACAAGUAUGAGAUCAUUCCUUCACUUCAAACGUACAAGUGAACAAAGUAACUUCAUGGUCCAUCAAAUCUUCAAACCUAACUUGUUCCUUGCUUGUAUGGUGAAUGAUCAAGGCUCGUAAAGCUUCCUUCACCCUCUUGGAUCUUGAUCUUGUCAUUGGACCGCCAAUGUGGACCAAAGGAUCCUUGACCCAAGGUUGAAGUUAAUUAUUGCACACCCGUAUCCGCAUCAUUCCCUCUUUCCUCGAAAAGAUUCGUCCUCGAAUCUUCAAAGUCUCCUCUUGAAAGUGAGUUGUCCACAAAUCGAUGCUGCGCUUAAAGGACAGCAAUGUUGGAAGUAGACGAAUGACUACAAGCCAUGUUGCAUGUCGUUUGGUCAGCUUCGGGAAGCUCUCAAACAAGAACAUGCGCCAAGGUAGGAAAGAACUUGUGUAAGGCAUGUGAAAAUCCCAAGUGGCAAUGAAAAACUCUCUAAUUAGUCUUUGGUCAUAGAUCUUCACAUUGACACCUUGAUUGUGCAAAGGUGUAAAAUCCAGCACUAGUUGACAUUGAUUUGAAUCAUCUUGCAUGGAUAAAUUGUGAGCAUGUUGUUGCAUGGAUGAAGCACUAAACAACUCGUGGAGGACGGCUUUGGGAUAUUGCGUGACACGCAAUUUCUCUUCUUCCAACAUAUAAGGUAGCAAACAAUUGAAUUCCACUUCAUGAGGGUUACUCGAACUAGCACAAGUUGAAGUUGACAAAUUGAGCACUUGGCCACCAGCUUUUAGUUGUGUGACUAAGCAUGAAAGAUCACCACCUUUAGUUGGAAUAAGCACGAAAUCAGGUUGUAAGUCUUUAAUCAAAACUGAAAAAUUUUGGACAGCUUUACAACCUACAAAAACAAAAUAACCUUCAACUUGAAACAAAUUAGAAAUUGGGUAAAGAAGUAAUGGUACAUCAUCAACUAAAUGGUAAGAAGGUAUAGAACAAGUUUUAAAUGUGAAUACUCCCUUUGCCACUUCAUUAUUCCUUCCACCAAUUGAUUCAACUUGAGAAGGCAUUGCUAGCCUUUUACACUUUUCUUCAAAAUCUGGAUAAGAAAUACAAGUGUUAGGAUGGAGAUUAUACUCAAAAGAAGGUAAAGAUGAUGAAUGACCCAUAGGUAGCAAAUGAGAGUCAAAUUUCGGAAUUCUCCCUUCAUGGUGGAUUUGACGUGAUUCCCCUUUGGUAUGGACAGAUUUGAAUUGAAAUUGUUCCAUGAGAUGAUUCCAGAUAGAUUCAAUUCCUAAAAGACAAACUCCAUGGAAACUAGUGAAUUGUACAAGUGACUUUGGAAUGGAGCAUGGCAUGACUAACUUCACUUGACUUUGCUUAAUCUGCACAAAUGAAGAAACACUAAAUAAAGCAAAGGUAAGUUCGUUAGAAAAACAAUAAGCCCUCACAUUUUUGCUCAAAAUCGUCUCACUUUCUCUCUUUUCUUCCUUUUUACCACUCAUCUCAUCAGAUUUUUCCAUCUCUUUAUCUAGUUUAACGCCCUCGAUUGUUUUCUCAUCAUCAACCUCCUCAACAAAUGGUUCAAUAGGAUGAGGUACUCCUUUGUUGGGAAUAGGGUCAGCUACCUCCUUCUUAGAAAACUCACUUUGAUAGCAUCCAUUUGACUCCAUUUGUUUUUGGUGUAGAAGACUAGGGGUGGCAAUUCCUGACACGACCUGAAAACACGACACGAACCUAACACGAAAUUAAUGGGUUUGGGUUGAGGUUUCGGGAGUUCGGGUCAGAAUCGGGUCGAACCCGAUGAACCCGAAAAGAAAACAGGUCAAUUUCGGGUCAACCCGUGGUGACCUGAUAUGACCCGAUGUGACCCGUUUACGAAUUAAAACUAAUUUAAUAAACAUAAAAAUUAUUUUAUCUAACUAAACUAAAUCAUUCUUUUCCCAAAGGCAUUAAUUACUUAAUCCUAAAUGAAUUUAUUUAACUUGUAUGAAGUUAAAAUUAUUAUAUUUGGACAAAUAACAUAUUAUGUUAUUUUUUACUUUUAUGCUGUUUUAAUUUAUUUUAUAUUUGGUUUGGGAUAAAACACUUUUAUGGUGUUUAAUUUAUUUUAGAUUUGGUUUGAAAUUAUUUAUUUAAAUUUUUAUUACUUGAUGAUGUAAUUAAUUUUGUGAAAAAUUGAUUUUAUUAGAAAUUACAGUGAUAAAUUAAUAAAUUAAAAUUAAGUUUCGGGUCAUUUCGGGUCGACCCGCCAACCCGAAAUUUUCGGGUUCGUGUCAGGUACCUUGACCCGUUUCGGGUUGGCGGGUCGGGUUCGAGUCAGCAGGUUCUUUGUUAUACUUAGGCCUCAACCCGACCCGCCAACCCGAACCCGACCCGAUUGCCACCCCUAUAGAAGACGUUGAUAUGUCUCCCAAAAUGACUCCGCAUGAGGUGGUUCAACUCUAGGUUUAGUCCUAGAAAAUGUUGAAUGAACCUUCUUGUCAUCUCUUGUAUAAACCGGCUUUAAAGAGGUAGAUUGCAUGGAACCUCUCCUCUUGAGAGAUUCGUUCUCUCGUUGGAGCCGAUCGUACAAGUCCGUAGUAUAAUGGGAGGGUACAAAUCGUUUUCUCAUCACUUGCUUCAUUUCAGUCCAAGUGUCAAUCGGUUGUUCCCUAUUUCUCCUCCUUGUGGCACAUACUUGCUCCCACCAAAUAAAUGCGUAAUCUUGAAAUUCAAUAGCUGCAAGUUUCACCUUUUUCUCUUCAGAGUAGUUGUGGACUUCAAACACUUGCUCAACUCGUCUAACCCAAUCCAAGUAAGAUUCAGGAUCAUUUUUCCCAUGAAAGGUAGGCAUCUUGGUUUUGAUGGAACCAAGAUUGUCAUCGGUUCUCCUAGGUCGGUCUCGACCUUCCCUCGCUUCCCUCUGGCUUUUUCUUGAUCGAAAGGAGAUGUUAGAAUGAUAUCCCUCAUCAUCUGCAUCAUGAUCAGCACUCUGAACACUCGAAACCCUAUUGUGUGUAUCUCCGGUACCUCGCAUCGCAAUGGCAGCCACCCUGUCGGAUAGUUGUUGGAGAGUUUGGAGCACCAAUUUGAGUGACACGUCGGUCUCAGACGGCUCGGCCAUGUUCCCCUCUUAAGACAUAUUGUCAAACCUGCAAAAUAAAUGUAUCCUAGUCUACCUUGCAAAACACUCGUGUAUCACUCAAGAAAACACACUCACUCUCAAUUUUCCUUCUCGAAGUUCUUAAAACAACUCAACUCUCAAAAAUUCCAGAAUUAAUUACCCUAUAAGCAACUAACAAGACACAAAGCAGAAUUUUACAAAUCUUAGAAAACUCUACCGAAGCUGGAACUUUUUAAUUUUUUUUUUUGAGCUGUUGCUUUGCUGAGUUUCUGGUCAGUAUUUUGGAAGGUAAAUGGUGUUUUGGAGUGCUCAAACAAUCUAUGAAUCAGUCCUCAAAUUUCAGUCAAAUCGAUUGCAAAACUAGCUCAACGAUUUUAGAAACUCAAGAACUCCCAAGGCGGUUUGGGCUAAGGUGUUUGGUUUGGUUUUGAAAACGGAAUUGGGUGUGUUUGGGGCUGGUUAGGUUGUUUAGGGUCUUUGGAAUUCAAUUAAGAUUGGAACUCAAGAGUUGGAAACCAAUCAAAAUUAGGAAACUCAAGUUUUGGGAAAUCAACCAAGAUUUGGAGACUAAUCAAGAUUUGGGAACCCACCAAGAAUUGGAAACUAACGAUUUUUUUUGGAAACUUGAUUUCCUUUGUAUGAGAGCCAAUUCCUUCUCUUCUUCCCUUUUUUUUUUCUUUCGUUUUUUUUUCUUUUUUUUUCGGCUCUUCAAGGAACACAAAUUCAGAUCACACCAACAAGUUCAAGAAAACGGAUGAAAGGUUAUGCCAAUUCCAAGAAAACCCUAGUUCUUGGUUUAUUGUUCAAGAAAUUUCAAAACAAGACUUGGUGGUCCAAGAACUUCAAGAAUUUGUUCAAGAAACACAAGAAUUUCCCCAAAUUAUGUUGCGGUGUCUAGGGUUUGCAAAAACAACAACCAAUUCUCAAGAAAUAGGCAAAACAGAAUUUCAGCAAUACUCAAAAGACAAUUCCAGCAAUACUCUAGCAAUUUGAACACUAAACAAUAUAAGGUACGUGACUCUUUUUUUUUUUUGUCUUUAAACCCUAACAACCCAAACACAAGUAUAACAAACCCAAGAACUUGGACAGAAAACACAAAAAGACAACACCCAAACAGUUUUUUUUUUGUUUUUUUGACUCAGAUGAACAGUAACGUGAACAGUACGCUACAGUACGAUGAACAGUAAUCGCUACAGUUUUUUUGUUUUUUUGACAAAAGACACAACUAACAAGAUAUGAACAACUUCAAUUAAAAGAGAAUUAACCUGAUGCUCUGAUUACCAACUGAUAUAGGCAACCCUAGGGGAAGACCCUCCUAGAACCUCCCAACCUUGUAAUUAUCAGAGUUGGAUCUUUUCUCCCAACAGAAAUUGAACUCGAUUGUUCUCAUGAACUCAAGACCUCUGACACACAAAGGUAAUCAGCAACCUUAAGCAAAUAAAGAUGGAUGAAGCGACACCACGAUUAGGGAACAAGCUAAUCGAUAAAGUCUGAUUUGAAUCCUAAGCCAUGAACUCAAGAAUUCAAGAGUAAGUUCGAUUAAGAACUUGAAGGAAAAUUCCUCACGAUUUCUGGUUAUAAUAAUCUCCGUCUUUUACUCUUACAAGAGGUGCCUUUUAUAGGCUAAAACUAGGGCAAAAUCCGGCCCACAUAAACCUGGAAAAGAUUCGGUCCGCAUAAAAGAGCUUAAAGAGCCAGCUCUUUAAGGCUUUCCGAUAAGGCCCAAUAAGUAAUAAAAUACUAAACGCCUAACAACUACUAAACUAGACAGUCUUAAAACAACUACCAACUAAGCUAACAAGUAUGAGAUCAUUCCUUCACUUCAAACGUACAAGUGAACAAAGUAACUUCAUGGUCCAUCAAAUCUUCAAACCUAACUUGUUCCUUGCUUGUAUGGUGAAUGAUCAAGGCUCGUAAAGCUUCCUUCACCCUCUUGGAUCUUGAUCUUGUCAUUGGACCGCCAAUGUGGACCAAAGGAUCCUUGACCCAAGGUUGAAGUUAAUUAUUGCACACCCGUAUCCGCAUCAUUAUGGAUGCAUAUUCUUCAAAUUCAAUAGCCGCAAGUUUCACCUUUUUCUCUUCAGAGUAACUGUGGACUUCAAACACUUGCUCAACUCGCCUAACCCAAUCCAAGUAAGCUUCUGGAUCAUUUUUUCCAUGAAAGGUAGGCAUCUUGGUCUUGAUGGAACCAAGAUUGUCAUCGGUUCUCCUAGGUCGGUCUCGGCCUUCCCUCGCUUCCCUGUGGCUUUUCCUUGAUCGGAAUGAGGUGUUAGAAUGAUACCCCUCAUCAUCCGCAUCAUGCUCAACACUCUGAGCACUUGAAGCCCUAUUGGGAAUAUCUCCAGUACCUCGCAUCUCAAUGGCAGCCAACCUGUCGGAUAUUUGUGCCAUCGUAAAUUCAUGUCUCUCCGCUUGUUUUUGAAGAGUUUGGAGCACCAGUUUGAGUGACACGUCGGUCUCAGACGGCUCAGGCAUGUUCCCCUCUUGAGACAUAUUGUCCAACCUGCAAAACAAAUGUAUCCUAGUCUACCUUGCAAGCACUCGUGUAUCACUCAAGGAAACACACUCACUCUCAAUUUUCCUUCUCGAAGUUCUUAAAACAACUCAAACUCUCAAAAAUUCCAGAAUUAAUGACUCUAUAAGCAAGUAACAAGACACCAAGCAGAAUUUUGCAAAUCUUAGAAAAACUCUACCCGAAUUCGGAACAGUAACGAUGAACAGUAAUCGCUACAGUUUUUUUUUUUUUUUUUUGACAAAAGACACAAACUAACAAGAUAUGAACAACUUCAAUUAAAAGAGAAUUAACCUGAUGCUCUGAUUACCAACUGAUAUAGGCAACCAUAGGGGAAGACCCUCCUAGAACCUCCCAACCUUGUAAUUAUCAGAGUUGGAUCUUUUCUCCCAACAGAAAUUGAACUCGAUUGUUCUCAUGAACUCAAGACCUCUGACACACAAAGGUAAUCAGCAACCUUAAGCAAAUAAGGAUGGAUGAAGCGACACCACGAUUAGGGAACAAGCUAAUCGAUAAAGUCUGAUUUGAAUCCUAAGCCAUGAACUCAAGAAUUCAAGAGUAAGUUCGAUUAAGAACUUGAAGGAAAAUUUCUCACGAUUUCUGGUUGUAAUAUUCUCUGUCCUUUAAUCUUACAAGAGAUGCCUUUUUAUAGGCUAAAACUAGGGAAAAAUCCGGCCCACAUAAACCUGGAAGAAAUUCGGUCCGCACAAAGAGCUUAAAGAGCCAGCUCUUUAAGGCUUUCCGAUAAGGCCCAAUAAAAUACUAAACGCCUAACAACUACUAAACUAGACAGUCAAGUAUGAGAUCAUUCCUUCGCUUCAAACGUACAAGUGAACAAAGUAACUUCAUGGUCCAUCGAAUCAUCAAACCUAGCUUGCUCCUUGCUUGUACGGUGAAUGAUCAAGGCUCGUAAAGCUUCCUUCACCUUCUUGGUUCUUGAUCUUGUCAUCGGACCACCAAUGUUGAUCAAAGGGUCCUUGACCCAAGGUUGGAGUUGUUGUGCGCCCGUAUCCUUAUCAAUAAAUCUGGUCAAUCUCACAGGGAGCAAUUUCUGCAAGUACUACGUCCUUAACUUACUCUAUUAUUUAUACUAACUAUCAAUAUUAUCAAUGAAAAUAACAAUACUAACUAUCUAAAUUAACUAGAGAACUUGCAGGUAACCAUUGGAGAAUAUCACCAAACCUUGGAUCUAGGAAAACAGAGUCCACUUAUGGCAUAAAAGAUACAAAUAAAUAGAUUUAUCUCUUGUUACAACUCUUGUUUAACUAGAGAUGCAUUUUCAUAUUUACCAAAACUCAUUCUCAUGAUGUAAUGGCAUAGAAUAGCCUAGUUUUCCCUAUUCUCAUGGUGAAUAAUUAGACCUAUUCUUUGUUCUUCAUGAAAUGUAAAGAUAAUCCACUUAAGUGUACCUCAAUUCUCAUAAGUCUACUCCUUAAGCUCCAUUUAUGUUGUUUCAUUAUUAUUACCAAUUUUCAUUGAAUAAUAACAACUAAAAGCUUGUUAUUGGUGAUCGAGCAACAAUAAGUGAUAAGCAUACACAAAUGCACAAGUUAAUACAAGAUGUAAGAAGUGUAAAUCAUAUUCACUUUAUAUCAAGUAGGCAUAAGUUUCAUCUACUCCCUAGAUCUAGAAAUUUAGUUACUCAUAUGAUAUAUGACGAGAAAGAACAUAACUUCAUUGCAUGAACACAAAUUAAAUCACAAGUAAAGAGAUAGAUAAAGAAAGUUUAGCCAAAAUAUGAAGAAGUUCCCAAUGAUAUUCUAUUUCUUCAACAAAAUGAGUUGUACAAUGAAGUCUCCAAUUGUUCUCACAAUGUUCUAGCUAGAGAGAACAAGACAAGACUCUUCAAACGCUAAGGCUCCUCUUCUCCUAUUAUGACUAAAAGUCUCCUUUUUCUAAUGAUUCUUAUACCAAUAAUGUUAAAGGAGUCAAAAAAUUGUUAAUGAUAAGAUAUAAAGCUCCCUUUCUCUUUCCAAAAUGUCCCUUGAACAUGUGCAGCCAAAAUUCUUGUCUGAAAUAGAGCUGAGAAGUAGUGUGAAAAUAGAGCAAGUGGUAAAGCAAGUUGCAGAAUUCUAGCUACAAUACGCGACCUCAGCUAUGAUACGCGACCUUAGAAUACGCGACCUCACCCAAUUCAAUCUCUCUAUCUCACCCAAUUCCAAUUCUCACCAAGUUUUGCACAUUAAGUUCCUCAAAUAAAGUUCACAAAAUUGAGAGACUUACGGAGCAAGUUACGUCUUAAAUCAUCCUAAUUUAUACCAAAAAUGCACAUGAAAUGCUACUAAUAACUAUGUAUAAAAUGCACUUAUCACAAGCAAAGUCUAGUAGAGUUGAUCAUGACGUGUUCCAUUCCUAAGUCACUUGUACACUUUGCGAGCUUUCAAGGAGUUUGUCUUUUAGGAGUUAAAUCUCUUGGGCAUCAAUUUGUGAAACAAUUACAAUUCAAAUCUGUCCGCACCCAUAGAGGGUUAAUCCGAGCUCAUCUUGAAGAGAGAAUUCAUGAUUUUGAUUCUUGUUUCUUAACUUUGGAUCAUUCAUCGUUUUUACUAUGUUUUGAGAGUAAUUCCAGUCCUAAUUUUUGUCAUUUUCAUGUAGAUUUCGAAGGAGAAUGUGAUGAACCAUCAAUGACUAAUCUAGUUGAAUUGGGUGAUGGAAGGAAUAAUGAAGUGUCAAAGGGAGUUUUUGCAUUUAAAUCUUGUUCUAAACCUUCUUACCAUUUAGUUAAUGAUGUUCCAUUGCUUAUAUAUCCAAGUUUUGGUUCAAAUCAAGUUAAGGUUUAUUUUAUUUUUGUAGGUUGUAAGGCUAUCCGUGAACUUCCAGCUUUGAUCAAAGGAGUGCAACCUGAUUUUAUGCUUGUUCCAGUCGCAUAUGAGGAUAAAAACCAGCUGCAAUCCAUGGCUUUUUCAGUCCCAAUCAGCCUGUGGAUAUAAGUAUUCUUUCUUCACCCUUGACGUCUUCAUUGUUUGAUAAGAUAUUAAUGCUGAUUCUAUCAUGUUGCUACCAACAAAAAUUGAGUUUUAUGCGCCAAUUGAGUUCAUGAGCAUCAAGAGGUUGUCUAUGCACCAUGCUACUAGGAUUGUCAUCAUUCACGUGUUUCCAUCGUUGUUGCAAUUCAAGCGAUCUAACAAUUUGAGGGCAAAUCUUUUCAAGAGGAGGGGAAUGAUGCAAGUCCUAAGAGCUACCCAUGCCCUACUUUACAAUCAAACAAUGGUUCAUUGAGGUCCAAUGAAUAAGGUUAAAUUUAAGUCUCUUAUAUGUUUAUUCAAUCCAUGUUAGUAACUGUUUCGUUGUUUGGUUGGUUCGAACUAGCUCAUGUUGAGCACAAGCUCGAUUUGACUAAUAGUUAGUCAUGUAGUUAGUAGAUUAGUUAGCUAGUUUAGCUUAGGUCCGGCCAACUAUAGUGACCAACUAAAAUGAGUUAAGGCCGUGAGUUUCUUUUGUUUGGAAAGUUCUAAUUAGGUAAGGAGUUGAGCCUUGUAAACCUAUAAAAAGGCAACUCUUUCGAUUCAAUAGGAGGAGAAAUGAUUUUAUGAAAGAAACUUGAGAGUUCAUCUCUUUCUUGUUCCUCGUGAACGCCCUUGAUACAAAGUGAGUCGUGCCUCCUUUGUUCAAUUUUGGUUUAUCAAUUCAACACCGCGUUGAAUUGUGGUACUUUCUACCCUUCUAAUCAAUCUCGAGUUGUCCUUGAUUGGAUUAGAAUCCACCCAAUUUUGUUCAUAGCCUGAUCAAGAUAGAUCCUUCUGUUGCCCGAUCAACUUGGUUCUUCAAGAUAGGUUCUUGCUGGGUCGAGUUCGCAUCAGAUUUAAUAAAUAUUUUUUCUCAAAAAAAGUCGCCCACCAAGGAACAAACAUGCGAAGAGAAUACAAGAAAAAAGAAAAAAUUAAAAGAAUUCAAAAACAACAAAAAUUUGAAAUAAGUAGCAUUUUUUAAAUAUAUAUUCUGUAUUAAUUAAACUCUUUUUAAAAACAUAAAAUCAUGACCUCUACAAAUGAAUUUUAUAAACAAACUAUAAUCUCCCAUAUUUGUAAUACAACUUGUUCAAUGAAAAAAAAUGUAAAAAAUAUAUGUAUGUUGGGCGUCGGGUAUCUGUGAAUUUUUAAUUAUGUAAUUCUAACCUGCCCCGCAUCUAAAUGGGUACUCGACCCCUUUUUUGAUCCGAUCAAAUAAUACGGAUCGAGUAUUCUAAUUUUUGAAACCAAUUAUUUCUAGAGUAGUUAGCCACCAAGAGAGGUUUAAAACUUUACUUUGGUGUAGGUCAAGGGAUUAAAUUCCCUUGUGUGACGCCCCGAAAAAAAAAAUGAGUUUGAGAACCCGGAAAUUUUCUAAUUUUCUAGGGUUUAUUUUUUUUAAAAAAAAAAACCCGCCUUUUCUACAUUUUCUUGAUUAGAAAAAUUCCCCAGAUAAAGUUUAUGAGCAAAAAUAGUUUUAAAAUGAUUUUUCUAGUAUCGGUUAGUUUUUGAGAAAUUAAAAGCGUAUUUUGGAUGUGGGACCCACUAGGGCGAAAAGUUCAGAAAAAUUCAACCAAUUAGGUUAAGUUCCGGAUACUGGGUGAAAUUUAUCGGGUGUUAAGAGAUAAAUAGAGGAGGUGAAGUGAUUGAUGUGAGAGGGAAAAAGAAGGAUAGAAAUGCAUUUAAUGAAGUGACACGUGUCACUUUGUGAGUGGUUGAAGCCUAAGACAACUAUUCACCUUUUUGACCUUUCUUUACCAUUUGAUUAAAUAUCUCAAAAUUGACCAAAUAUUCACUCUUUCUUUCUCCAUGUUGGCCGGCCAUCUUGAGCUAAGAAGAAAGAAAAACUCUCCAAGAUUCUUGCUUCCAUCUUGCUUGAGUGUAAUCAUCCAACCAUUUGAUCUUGUUUCUACUCCAUAAAAUCUCUCCAUUUGGUACUAGAAAGUGAUUUGGUGAAGUGUUUAAGGAAGCUAAGGUGUUCCCUCUCUUGUUUACUAGGUGAGUGGUGAUUGAACUUCCUCCUACACUUAAUGAAGCUUAAGUUGUGCUUAAUGGUAGCUAAAGUGAUGAAUUUGUGGCUUAUUUCUUGGUUUGAGAUGAAUUGGUGAAGUUUUCAAUUUAUUGAUGAAUUUUCUGGUUUAAUGUGAUCAUGAUGUUGUGGUUAUUUAUGAUGGUUGGUAAUGAGGGGUAAUGACUCUAGUAGGUGUAAAUGAUUGGUAAUUGCAACCAAUUUUGGGUUUGGAAGGAAUUUGAGGAAGUUAGGGUUUCAUAACCCCCUUUUCUGUCCGAUUUUGUAUCAUAUGGUUAGAGGCCGAAUUGGCCUUUGCUUAAAACAUGAAAGUUGUAGGUAUUGAUGUUUUUGAGGUGCCUGUAAAAUUCAGGUCAUUUGGAGUAGUGUAGAAUGAGAUAUGUCGAAUUUACUAUUGCUGUUCUGGGUUUCAGGAUGGCCGAACUGCGCCUGUAAUCGGCUGUUUUGACUGGAAUUGUUUUGGAUUUGGGUGUUGAGAUCUUCUGAUGAAAUGUAGCUUGAUGUCCUAGCUAUCAUAUGCCUUUGGAAUUUCUGCAUUCGGACCUGUAUAGACUGAGUUGUACUGAUUACAGCAUAGUGUGAUUUGUAAACCUGCAAUUAAGGUUCUGGUUUGGUAUUUUGCAUAUUUGACCUAGUUGUUUUAGGAUUUGGACUGAGUGGCCUUCUACAUUGUUGUAGCCCUGUCUUUUAGCUUCGAAACGGUGGGUCUUGCACCUUCAUCCGACAAUCGUAACGCCUUUGAUACCAUUACCGCAAAAUGACGUCAAAACUAUUUUUCUGGUUUGAGCUAAACUUUCAUUUCCGGACUUUUCCCUAGCUUGACUUGUACUAGUACUACUUGGAGCUUGCUGAAUGGCUAUUGGAUGAACUUGUUGUUGUGUGUGUACCUUUGGGACUGGCUGAGGAUAAUGAAGCCUUGAUGGCUGGAAAAGUAAGCAAAUUCAGGGGAAGUGCUGUCCGAACUUUGAAAGGACUUGAUUGCAUUGAGUUUGUGAUCUAAGACUUGGAUUUGCGCAAGGCAAUGUUAUAUGAUGGAUUAUUUCUGAGCCAUGGAGGUGAGUGACCUCAAACUGUUUCCAAAUUUACUUUUGAACCGCUUUACUGCAUUAUCUACUUUUGAACCGUUUUCAAAGUUACUUUUGGAACAGUUUCUUACAUAUCAUGCGUGCUUGAAUUAGUGUCUUGUUAUUAUUGAUUUUACUUUCAAUGAUUGUUAAAACGAGUUUUCUAGGCGAGUGUGUACUUUAUCGCACUCGACCUAAAUAAAUAUGAAAUUUUCAAUGAUUAAUGUUUAAAUGCUACUUGCGCAUGAAUGUAAGCCUUUUGGGCUGAACUGGCCAUUGCCCCUUGUUACCGGUCGUCUCGAGCCAGAAGCGGACUUGGUCGGGCGACUAGGAACUUGGGUGAACGUUUCGGUAUACUCGAGUAUUACCUUGUAGGUUGGUGGAGCCUGGCCAAAAGCCAGGGACGGGGUGAAUGAAUGCACAAAUGAAACCAAAUGCAAUGAAAUGACAGGAGAACGAACGUAUCCUUUUCAUGAAUGUUACUAUCGCUUUCCAUUGUAAAUGUUUCUUGAAAUAUUGAUACUCCAUAUUUAAUGUUUUGUAAACGUUGUAAUUGUUUCUAGAUUUAUCCUUUGAUUUACAUCAUCAUUGAAAUGAACCAUUGUUAAACAGAUUUGAUAACUGAUUUUAUUGGUUACUCGCUGAGCUUCUAACUCACCCCAAAAAUGUUUUAUUCCCCUCCACAGGGCUCAAGGCGAAGGAAGGGCUUGUAGUGUUUAUUCAUGGAUUAUCUCAUGUAUGGAUUGAACUUGGAUUUCCUUUUGUGUAAUCAUUCAUAUUGGGAUUGUAUUGAACGUUUAGAAUUGAUUGGAUGUGUAAUAGUCUAGUUUUGGACUUCCUCCUGUAUAAUAGUUGGUAUCAAGGAUCAGAGUGGCGCAGUGGAAGCGUGGACGCUUCGCUUUUGAUAUGAAAAAUUUUGGAGAAUUUGAUGUAUAUUGGAGAUUUGUAUGGUAAUUCAUUUGAGGACUUUAGUGAACGACUGAGUCCCGGCGAGAGCCGGGCAGGCGGUCCGCCAAACCCUUUAGUUCGCCUUAGGGGGAGGUGGGGCCGUGACACCUUGCCUACAUUCUAAAAUCCAAACUUUCUUGAAAAUAUUGUUAGUGGGUGCAUAGGCACCCGUUUGGACCGGUAGUGGUUCAGUCCCCUCCAAAUUCUCCUUGGGUC